Molecule: ribosomal RNA, 630 nt
Filed under: uncultured Acinetobacter sp.
Lineage: Bacteria; Pseudomonadati; Pseudomonadota; Gammaproteobacteria; Moraxellales; Moraxellaceae
Description: bacterial SSU rRNA
Rfam family: Bacterial small subunit ribosomal RNA
Source: RNAcentral
GGACCUUGCGCUAAUAGAUGAGCCUAAGUCGGAUUAGCUAGUUGGUGGGGUAAAGGCCUACCAAGGCGACGAUCUGUAGCGGGUCUGAGAGGAUGAUCCGCCACACUGGGACUGAAACACGGCCCAGACUCCUACGGGAGGCAGCAGUGGGGAAUAUUGGACAAUGGGCGCAAGCCUGAUCCAGCCAUGCCGCGUGUGUGAAGAAGGCCUUAUGGUUGUAAAGCACUUUAAGCGAGGAGGAGGCUACUUUAGUUAAUACCUAGAGAUAGUGGACGUUACUCGCAGAAUAAGCACCGGCUAACUCUGUGCCAGCAGCCGCGGUAAUACAGAGGGUGCAAGCGUUAAUCGGAUUUACUGGGCGUAAAGCGCGCGUAGGCGGCUAAUUAAGUCAAAUGUGAAAUCCCCGAGCUUAACUUGGGAAUUGCAUUCGAUACUGGUUAGCUAGAGUGUGGGAGAGGAUGGUAGAAUUCCAGGUGUAGCGGUGAAAUGCGUAGAGAUCUGGAGGAAUACCGAUGGCGAAGGCAGCCAUCUGGCCUAACACUGACGCUGAGGUGCGAAAGCAUGGGGGAGCAAACAGGAUUAGAUACCCUGGUAGUCCAUGCCGUAAACGAUGUCUACUAGCCGUUGGGG